UACGUAGGGGGCAAGCGUUGUCCGGAUUUAUUGGGCGUAAAGAGCGUGUAGGCGGCCAGAUAGGUUCGUUGUGAAAACUCGAGGCUCAACCUCGAGACGCCGAUGGAAACCAUUUGGCUAGAGUCCGGAAGAGGAGAGUGGAAUUCCUGGUGUAGCGGUGAAAUGCGCAGAUAUCAGGAAGAACACCCGUGGCGAAGGCGGCUCUCUGGAACGCAACUGACGCUGAGACGCGAAAGCGUGGGGAGCAAACAGG
RNAcentral lists this ribosomal RNA (253 nucleotides) under uncultured bacterium. RNAcentral describes it as "partial 16S ribosomal RNA". It matches the Rfam family "Bacterial small subunit ribosomal RNA", at positions 524 to 776 of the family's 1533-position model. The record is from RNAcentral.